CUAUCGAAGGAGGGGAGGAGCCUCUUCCGUUCAUCUACUAACUAAUUGGCUAUCGAAGGAGGGGAGGAGCCUCUUCCGUUCAUCUACUAACUAAUUAGCACCACUCGACCACUAAUCGGUUUCCGGAUCACGCAGGAGAGAGGACAGACUUUUUCCCAAAUGAGAAAAGGCCGUCCAUACAUACAUAGAAGAGUCUGUCCUUCUAGCGGUUGAUACUCAGAGAGAUACUAGUCUCUCUGAGACCAGAGGGACAGGUCAGUAAAACACAGAACAAUAAGGGACGAAAAUAGCUUUGAAUAGCUUUUCCCUGAAUAGGAGAAACUCUGGGGCUCCACGCUCACGUCGCUGACUGUCUGUGUAGGAAAACAAUAUGGCCACCCUGCAGUGAGAAGAGAACACCACUCAGCCUGACAACCAGGCUUCAUUGGGUGAGUCUGGGACUACGUCCUAAAUGGCACCCUAUUCCCUACAUAGUGCACUACUUUAUACCAGAGCUCUAUGGGCCCUGGCACCCUAUUCCCUAUAUAGUGCACUACUUUAGACCAGAGCCCUAUUCCCUACAUAGUGCACUACUUUAGACCAGAGCCCUAUGGCACCCUAUUCCCUACAUAGUGCACUACUUUAGACCAGAGCCUGUGUAGGGAAUAGGGUGACGUUCACUGUCUGCACUGGAAACUGGUGCAGAGAGGAGAGGAGGAGAGAGAGAAAGGAAGGAAAGGAGGAGAGAGAGAAAGGAAGGAAAGGAGGAGAGAGAGAAAGAAAGGAAAGGAAAGGAGGAGAGAGAGAAAGAAGAAAGGAAAGGAGGAGAGAGAGAAAGGAAGGAGAGGAAAACUGGCAGGCAGACUGGAUGACUCUGGGGAGAAGAGAGGAGGGAGGGAGGGGAGAAGGAGGGAGGGAGAUGGGAGGUAAAGAACAAGGAGGGAGGGAGAUGGGAGGUAAAGAACAAGGAGGGAGGGAGAUGGGAGGUAAAGAGGAAGGGAGUCUGGAGAGAAUGCAAAGUGAGGGAGAUGGAUAGAUGUAAAGUGGAAGAGAGGGAGAAGGGAGAGUGAGGAGAUAUGAGGGAGAGAGAGCAGGCAGAGUGAGGGAGAGAGAGAGAGCAGGCAGAGUGAGGGAGAGAGAGAGAGCAGGCAGAGUGAGGGAGAUGGAGGGAGAGAGAGCAGGCAGAGUGAGGGAGAUGUAGGGAGAGAGAGCAGGCAGAGUGAGGGAGAUGUAGGGAGAGAGAGCAGGCAGAGUGAGGGAGAUGUAGG
Long non-coding RNA from Oncorhynchus tshawytscha (Chinook salmon), 1247 nucleotides. NCBI's taxonomy places the organism in Eukaryota, Metazoa, Chordata, Actinopteri, Salmoniformes, Salmonidae. The record is from Ensembl.